CCAUGGGGGUAUUAUUGGUCGGGUGAGUGAGUGUGACAGUCAGGGAGAGUCUACUUUCUAUGGUUCCUUGACUUCCGAGUCUUUCACUGAGGGAAACAUGACUAUUAUGAUGAAUUGGAAUAUUUCUGAGUAUCUGCCAGAGAGAAGUCGACGAAUGUUUAAUAAUGUGCUCGUUGAGUAUUUAGUAAGCUCAGAGAGGUGUUGGAAGCUCAAUUCGGGGAAAAUAUG
Long non-coding RNA from Octopus sinensis (East Asian common octopus), 228 nucleotides. RefSeq lists it as uncharacterized. The record is from RefSeq and is a predicted model, not a curated record. The transcript is spliced from 3 exons. Lineage: Eukaryota; Metazoa; Mollusca; Cephalopoda; Octopoda; Octopodidae.